UCCUGGUUAGCUCAGUUGGUAGAUUACUCCCCUGGUGAUGGGGAGGUCCCCGCUUCGAUACCAGGACCAGGCG
Molecule: transfer RNA, 73 nt
Filed under: Ixodes scapularis (black-legged tick)
Lineage: Eukaryota; Metazoa; Arthropoda; Arachnida; Ixodida; Ixodidae
Description: tRNA-Thr for anticodon GGU
Source: RNAcentral